AGUUAUGAUCUUGAAAAUAAAAAAAUCUGGCGGUAUUAUAGUCUUUUCAGAGGAACCUGCCCUGUAAAUGAUAAUCCACGAUUAAUUGUACUUGCUUUUUAUGUUUGUAUAUCGUCGUGGUUGAGUGUUUUAUAAGAAUACAUUCAUGGUUCUUUUUAGGAAGGAAUUCAGAUCAAGGUGCAGCUUUAAGUAAGAAGAGGUGGGUUACAAUAAAUUUAUUUAUACGGUUUAAUUAUUUAACAGUAUUUAAUAAGGUGGAUUUGAAAGUAAAUUUUAAUAUUUAUUAAUUUUGAUUAAGCUCUAUAAUAUGUACAUAUCGCCCGUCGCUCUCAUUUAAGUUGAGAUAAGUCGUAACAUAGUAGAUGUAUCGGAAGAUGUAUCUAGGUUGACUAACUAGAGCUUGUUAUAUAGCAUUUUGCUUACACCAAAAAGAAAUUUAUUUAAAUUGGUUAGAUUUUUUUCUUAAUUUUUUUUUCUUUUUUUAGGUUUUAAAGUAAAUAUAUUUAUGUUUAAUUAUUUUUUGAAAAAAUUUUUUUGUUUAUAGGUUAUAAUUAUCGUGAGAGAAUGAAUUAUAAAUUAUUAAAAGAUGAAUUAAGUUUUUGUACCUUGUGUAUCAGGGUUUAUUAAAUUUAUAAUUAAAAUUAAUUGAUCCCGAAUUUAAAAGAGCUAUAUUUAAUUAAAUUUUUCUGUAGAAUAAGAAUUUUAAAAUUAAAUAUGGUAAUGAAAUGUUAUUCGUUUUUUUGUUUAUCUGGUUGCUUAAUAAAUGCGUAUAAUGCAAUUUUAAAUUUUUAGGCUUAUUUUUUAGGUUUUUAGAGUUUAAAUGUUAUUUUAUUAGGGAUAAGCUUAAUAAAAUAUUUUAUAAUUUUAUUUUUAAUGAAUAAAUUUAUAGGAUUAGAAUUUUUCAUUUUUAAUAUGUUAUAAUAAAUUUAUUUAUUUUUUAAUUUUUUAUUUUUUAAUUUUAUAUUAAGCUUUUAAGGAUAAUUUUUAUUCUAAAGUAAUAAUGAUAGAAUUAGUAUAAAUUUUUGUUUUUGUUAUGAUAAUUUUUAGACAAAAAUAAGGAAUUCGGCAAUAGUUUUUUCGCCUGUUUAUUAAAAACAUGGUUUCUUGCUUAUAAUUUGAGAUUUUACCUGCCCAAUGAUUUUUUAAAUGGCCGCGGUAUUUUGACCGUGCGAAGGUAGCAUAAUCAUUAGUCUUUUAAUUGAAGACUUGUAUGAAUGGUUUGACGAAAAAAACACUGUCUCAGUUUUGUUAAUAGAAUUUUAAUUUUAAGUGAAAAUGCUUAAAUGUUUUUGAGGGACGAGAAGACCCUAUAGAGUUUUAUAAAUUUUUAUUUUUGUAAUUUAGUAUUUUUUAAAAUAAAUUUUUAUUAUUUGGGGGUGAUGGGAAAAUUUAAAUAACUUUUCUUGAAUUUUU
RNAcentral lists this ribosomal RNA (1413 nucleotides) under Xylotillus sp. NLG-2014. RNAcentral's name for it is "partial 16S ribosomal RNA". The stretch from base 1072 to 1233 matches the Rfam family "Bacterial large subunit ribosomal RNA", at positions 1790 to 2014 of the family's 2925-position model. Lineage: Eukaryota; Metazoa; Arthropoda; Insecta; Coleoptera; Bostrichidae. The record is from RNAcentral.